Molecule: non-coding RNA, 154 nt
Filed under: bovine gut metagenome
Also listed under: 1 other name
Source: RNAcentral
UGUAUCUUAGAAGUUCUUAAUGUUCUGUACAAACACCAGCAAUGUUUGAACACGAUGUUCAAACAAACCGCCACUGAGCCAUGGAUGGCGAAUUGGCGGUGGUUGCGUCCGACUACAUUAUGUAUAUCAGAACAUUAUAGAACUUCUUAGAUAC